UACGUAGGGUGCGAGCGUUGUCCGGAUUUAUUGGGCGUAAAGGGCUCGUAGGCGGCGUGUCGCGUCGGGAGUGAAAGACCGGGGCUUAACCCCGGUUCUGCUUCCGGUACGGGCAUGCUGGAGUGUGGCAGGGGAGACUGGAAUUCCUGGUGUAGCGGUGGAAUGCGCAGAUAUCAGGAGGAACACCGGUGGCGAAGGCGGGUCUCUGGGCCAUUACUGACGAUGAGGCGCGAAAGCUAGGGGAGCAAACAGG
This 253-nucleotide ribosomal RNA is filed under the name uncultured bacterium. RNAcentral's name for it is "partial 16S ribosomal RNA". It matches the Rfam family "Bacterial small subunit ribosomal RNA", at positions 524 to 776 of the family's 1533-position model. The record is from RNAcentral.